RNAcentral lists this ribosomal RNA (429 nucleotides) under Chloroflexota bacterium. Its description in RNAcentral is "Chloroflexi bacterium partial 16S ribosomal RNA". It matches the Rfam family "Bacterial small subunit ribosomal RNA", at positions 355 to 776 of the family's 1533-position model. The record is from RNAcentral. Lineage: Bacteria; Bacillati; Chloroflexota.
UGGGGAAUAUUGCACAAUGGGCGCAAGCCUGAUGCAGCCAUGCCGCGUGUAUGAAGAAGGCCUUCGGGUUGUAAAGUACUUUCAGCGGGGAGGAAGGGAGUAAAGUUAAUACCUUUGCUCAUUGACGUUACCCGCAGAAGAAGCACCGGCUAACUCCGUGCCAGCAGCCGCGGUAAUACGGAGGGUGCAAGCGUUAAUCGGAAUUACUGGGCGUAAAGCGCACGCAGGCGGUUUGUUAAGUCAGAUGUGAAAUCCCCGGGCUCAACCUGGGAACUGCAUUCGAAACUGGCAGGCUAGAGUCUUGUAGAGGGGGGUAGAAUUCCAGGUGUAGCGGUGAAAUGCGUAGAGAUCUAGAGGAAUACCGGUGGCGAAGGCGGCCCCCUGGACAAAGACUGACGCUCAGGUGCGAAAGCGUGGGGAGCAAACAGG